AUUGGGCCUAGAGGGUCACACACAUAUGGUAGGCAUUGCGAUGAGUAGAGGUUCGGAUAUGAGAUAUCCAACGGAGCCCUUGUCUUAUUGGAUGCAGAUCCAAUACCCACUAGGGAAUGACCCAUUAGGGUUUGAUAGGGGACCUCUAUAAAUAGGAGGGAUUCAGAGCCUCACAGGCUAGAGCCUUUGCUUGCCUCUCCUAUUCUCCUCCCCC
RNAcentral lists this long non-coding RNA (214 nucleotides) under Musa acuminata (dwarf banana). RNAcentral's name for it is "long non-coding RNA (MACU_LNC005326)". Lineage: Eukaryota; Viridiplantae; Streptophyta; Magnoliopsida; Zingiberales; Musaceae. The record is from RNAcentral.